Molecule: ribosomal RNA, 439 nt
Filed under: uncultured bacterium
Lineage: Bacteria
Description: partial 16S ribosomal RNA
Rfam family: Bacterial small subunit ribosomal RNA
Source: RNAcentral
CUACGGGUCGCUGCAGUGAGGAAUAUUGCACAAUGGGGGGAACCCUGAUGCAGCAACGCCGCGCGGAGGAUGACGCAUUUCGGUGUGUAAACUCCUUUUAUAUGUCAAGAAAAUGACGGUAGCAUAUGAAUAAGCACCGGCUAACUCCGUGCCAGCAGCCGCGGUAAUACGGAGGGUGCAAGCGUUACUCGGAAUCACUGGGCGUAAAGGACGCGUAGGCGGGUUGGAAAGUCAGGUGUGAAAUCCUACAGCUUAACUGUAGAACUGCACUUGAAACUUCUAAUCUAGAGUAUGGGAGGGGGAGAUGGAAUUAGUGGUGUAGGGGUAAAAUCCGUAGAUAUCACUAGGAAUACCUAAAGCGAAGGCGAUCUCCUGGAACAUUACUGACGCUAAGGCGUGAAAGCGUGGGGAGCAGACAGGAUUAGAUACCCUGGUAGUC